CCUACGGGUGGCAGCAGUGGGGGAUAUUGGACAAUGGGGGGGAACCCUGAUCCAGCGACGCCGCGUGAGUGAAGAAGUAUUUCGGUAUGUAAAGCUCUGUCAGCAGGGACGAAAGCAAUGACGGUACCUGACCAAGAAGCCCCGGCUAACUACGUGCCAGCAGCCGCGGUAAUACGUAGGGGGCAAGCGUUAUCCGGUGUUACUGGGUGUAAAGGGGGCGCAGACGGCAAUGCAAGCCAGGUGUGAAAGCCCGGGGCCCAACCCCGGGACGGCUCUUGGAACUUCAUGGCUGGAGUACAGUAGGGGCAGGCGGAAUUCCUAGUGUAGCGGUGAAAUGCGUAGAUAUUAGGAGGAACACCGGUGGCGAAGGCGGCCUGCUGGACUGUGACUGACGUUGAGGCCCGAAGGCGUGGGUAGCAAACAGGAUUAGAUACCCGAGUAGUC
Molecule: ribosomal RNA, 444 nt
Filed under: uncultured bacterium
Lineage: Bacteria
Description: partial 16S ribosomal RNA
Rfam family: Bacterial small subunit ribosomal RNA
Source: RNAcentral